This 482-nucleotide ribosomal RNA is filed under the name uncultured bacterium. RNAcentral describes it as "partial 16S ribosomal RNA". It matches the Rfam family "Bacterial small subunit ribosomal RNA", at positions 28 to 507 of the family's 1533-position model. The record is from RNAcentral.
GACGAACGCUGGCGGCGUGCUUAACACAUGCAAGUCGAACGAUGAAGCAGAGACACGCGAACUUCGGUUCAAAUUUCACUUCGGAUUAGUGGCAGACGGGUGAGUAACGCGUGAGCAACCUACCUCUUACAAAGGGAUAGCCUCGGGAAACCGUGAUUAAUACCAUAUGACACAUUCAUAAGGCAUCUUAAGAAUGUUAAAGCUACGGCGGUAAGAGAUGGGCUCGCGUCCCAUUAGCUAGUUGGUGAGGUAACGGCCCACCAAGGCGACGAUGGGUAACCGGCCUGAGAAGGUGAACGGUCACAUUGGAACUGAGACACGGUCCAAACUCCUGCGGGAGGCAGCAGUGGGGAAUAUUGCACAAUGGAGGGAACUCUGAUGCAGCGACGCCGCGUGAGCGAUGAAGGAAUUCGUUUCGUAAAGCUCUGUUCUAUGGGAAGAAAAGGACUGUACCAUAGGAGAAAGCCCCGGCUAAAUACGUG